Molecule: ribosomal RNA, 200 nt
Filed under: uncultured bacterium
Lineage: Bacteria
Description: partial 16S ribosomal RNA
Rfam family: Bacterial small subunit ribosomal RNA
Source: RNAcentral
GAUGAACGCUAGCGGCAGGCUUAACACAUGCAAGUCGAGGGGCAGCAGGGGUAGCAAUACCCGCUGGCGACCGGCAAACGGGUGCGGAACACGUACGCAAUCUACCAUUGUCUGGGGCAUAGCCCGAAGAAAUUCGGAUUAAUACCCCAUAAUAUAUUGAGAAGGCAUCUUUUUGAUAUUAAAACUCCGGUUGACAACGA